CCUACGGGAGGCAGCAGUGGGGAAUAUUGGACAAUGGGCGAAAGCCUGAUCCAGCAAUUCCGCGUGUGUGAAGAAGGCCUUCGGGUUGUAAAGCACUUUAGUGGGGGAAGAAACAGCUUGGCCACACCAAGCCUUGACGGUACCCCAAGAAUAAGCACCGGCUAACUCUGUGCCAGCAGCCGCGGUAAUACAGAGGGUGCAAGCGUUAAUCGGAUUUACUGGGCGUAAAGGGUGCGUAGGUGGCUAUUUAAGUCGGAUGUGAAAGCCCGGGGCUCAACCUCGGAAUUGCAUUCGAUACUGAGUGGCUAGAGUUCGGUAGAGGGCGGCGGAAUUUCCGGUGUAGCGGUGAAAUGCGUAGAUAUCGGAAGGAACAUCAAUGGCGAAGGCAGCCGCCUGGGCCUGGACUGACACUGAGGCACGAAAGCGUGGGUAGCAAACAGGAUUAGAUACCCUGGUAGUCCACGCCGUAAACGAUGAGAACUUGACGUUGGUUCGUUUUACGAAUCGGUGUCGCAGCUAACGCGAUAAGUUCUCCGCCUGGGGAGUACGGCCGCAAGGUUGAAACUCAAAUGAAUUGAGG
Molecule: ribosomal RNA, 580 nt
Filed under: uncultured bacterium
Lineage: Bacteria
Description: bacterial SSU rRNA
Rfam family: Bacterial small subunit ribosomal RNA
Source: RNAcentral